Molecule: long non-coding RNA, 306 nt
Organism: Rhea pennata
Lineage: Eukaryota; Metazoa; Chordata; Aves; Rheiformes; Rheidae
Exons: 3
Source: RefSeq, a predicted model, not a curated record
GGAGCAGCUGAAGCAAGUCAUUUUAUUCUGCCUGACCUCAGGGGUUAGCCUUCAGCUGCUGGGAUUUUCAGGCCUGAUGGGACUGCAGUGACAUCCUACCAAUAACAAGCAUGGAGAAACAGGAUGAUGCAAUUUAGAGCUGGACAGCAAAUCAGAAAGAAGGCACCUGACUGGGAACAAAGAAGCUUUCUUGACCAGGCCUUUAGAUGAAGUCAUCCUGCUACAUGACUGCUGCAAAAGAAAUGCCGAUUCUGUGACUGGUGGAGGUAUAUGUGAGGGAGGAAAUGGAGCUGUCCCUUUUGUUGA